RNAcentral lists this ribosomal RNA (521 nucleotides) under uncultured Glomeraceae. Its description in RNAcentral is "SSU rRNA". It matches the Rfam family "Eukaryotic small subunit ribosomal RNA", at positions 569 to 1092 of the family's 1831-position model. Lineage: Eukaryota; Fungi; Glomeromycota; Glomeromycetes; Glomerales; Glomeraceae. The record is from RNAcentral.
AGCAGCCGCGGUAAUUCCAGCUCCAAUAGCGUAUAUUAAAGUUGUUGCAGUUAAAAAGCUCGUAGUUGAAUUUCGGGAUCAAUACGUCGGUCGUGCUUCGGUACGUACUGGCGUCAUUGGUUUCUCCCUUCUGACGAACCAUGAUGUCAUUAACUUGGUGUCAUGGGAAAUCAGGACUGUUACUUUGAAAAAAUUAGAGUGUUUAAAGCAGGCUCACGCUUGAAUACAUUAGCAUGGAAUAAUGAAAUAGGACGUUCGAUCCUAUUUUGUUGGUUUCUAGGAUCAACGUAAUGAUUAAUAGGGAUAGUUGGGGGCAUUAGUAUUCAAUUGUCAGAGGUGAAAUUCUUGGAUUUAUUGAAGACUAACUACUGCGAAAGCAUUUGCCAAGGAUGUUUUCAUUAAUCAAGAACGAAAGUUAGGGGAUCGAAGACGAUCAGAUACCGUCGUAGUCUUAACCAUAAACUAUGCCGACUAGGGAUCGGAUGAUGUUAAUUAUUUAAUGACUCAUUCGGCGCCUUACG